AAUCCCGCGCGGCUCAGAGAUGGGUUUCUGGACUCGCGAAGCAGCUGCAACAAGGCAUCACUCACUGUAUAAGUAUUUCCAUUUCUGAGAGCAAAAGGAAGAACUUAAGCGGGCGGCACUUGGAGUGUAAAUUGCUUUGUAGUAUUUAAAGGCAGAAUGGAUCCUGGGCAGCCGAGCUGCAACAAACCGGCAGGACUUCCUGUGAAAUCAUGACCACCAUGUGCUCUUUCAGCCUCUAUCAGUUCCUACCUCUAAGCACCUGAGAGCCAAAGCAAACCACAGGAAACCACAGGUACUAACUCUUUUAGACCUGAUGAAGUGUCUCCCAAAUACAGUCUGGCAUGGUUGCCGACUUCUCAAGCUGCAGAAGACAUUUUAAAGCAACAUUUAUUUUUCAUUCAUUCAUUCAACGUUCACUGAAUUACUAAAACACUUACUAAGUGUCUGUUAUAUGCCAAGUACUGCUCGAAGUACUGGAGAUGUAGAAGAGAUCAAGACGUAGUAUCUACCCUCAAGGAGUUUCCAGACCAGUAAUCAGAAGUAAGACUUGGCUACAAAAAGAAAAAGACUCAAACUAAACGUCAGCUUUUCCCGGCUCUCAAGCCUGCUGGUCCCUGAACUAAAACUCACAUUAUCAACUCUACUGGUUCUUAGGCCUUUGGAGUCAGACUGGAACUACAGCAUUGACUCUUCCGGAACUCCAGCUUACUGACUACAGAUCUUGGAACUUUUCAGCUUCCACAACCAUAAUGAAAGCCAAGCAUAUUCCAUCAUUUCCUAAAACCAAGAUAGAGCACAUAUGGGAACUUGUGAAAUAAGGUAAAUUUUUAGUUUUAAUUCUAAGAUAACAUUUAAUUGAGGAAUGAAGUGAAAAUUCUCCUUUCCUUUUUUUUUUUUUUUUGGAACAUGGGUAUGGUCAGCAGCCUCCAACAUGACUCCUAAAGAUCUCUACCUCUUAGCAUUUAUACUGUCAUGUAAUUCUUUCCCCUUAAGGGUGGUUGAUUUAAUGACUUGUUUCUAAUAAACAAAAUAUUACAAAAGUGAUGGGCUGUCAUUUCUAAUUAGGUUAUGAAAGACUGUGGUCUGGUUUGGGUGCCUUCUCUUACAUUCUCAUUCACUUGUUGUGAGGGAAUCAAGCUACAGUGUUUUAAGGUGCACACAUGUCAAAGAACUGAUGUUUUCAGCCGGGAUCCAGCAAGGACCUGAGGUCAUCCAAAAGGCAUGUGAAUGAGUUUGGAAGAAAUCUUUCCCCAGUUGUGCUCUGAGAUAAUUGCGACACUGGCGUACAAUUUCCUGAGAGAUGUUGAGCCAGAACCACCACGCUGAGCAAAACAAGAUUCCUGACCUGAGAGAACUGUGAGAUGAUAAAUGUUUUGUUUUGAACCAAGGUAUUUUAGAAAAUUUAUUACACAGCAAUAGAUAACAAAUACAUACAGUGGAAACAUCUUCAGUAUUGUAGACUUGAGUAUGGUGGUUAGCAGGAUAUUUUCUGUCAUCAGAAGUCAGCAUAAGUAAAGGAAAUUAACAAUAGUUCAGAGAAGGCCAUAAGAUAGAAACUUGGUAAGGAAACACUGUACCUGUUCUACCUACUUCUAAGUUUUUCUUUAUUUCCACCACUCUUUGAUGCCAUGGCAAUAAAUAAUAUAUAUACAUACAUAUAUAUAUAUACACACACACACAUAUAUAUAUAUAUACACACACACAUACAUAUAUAUAUAUCUUUCAGGUUCUCUUUCUGCAGCCACUUACUAAGCUAUAAUGAUAAUAAAGGGACAAAAAGACUGGGAAUUGAACUUCAGUCAUAAUGAAAUGACUCCAUAAUUCAAAGACAAAUAAACCCAUAAUUUCCUUUUUGGAUUUAAAGAAGAAACAUUUAUCAAAUAAACUGAUAAACAAUAAUAUACUUUUACGUAGCCUAAGAUAAAAGCCAUUUGUCUAUAUUAGGGUUCUGAUAACAAUACACAAUUCUCACUCACAAAAAGAUUUUGUCAUGGGAUCAGGAGUAACUGCAGGUGUUUAUUUCCAGUCAGAAUAACUGAAAAAUUUCAACUGGACUUCCAAUGUUUAUAUAAACCUGGUUGUUUCUACAGAAAAGUAAAUAGUUUAAUUACCAUUUGCCACGAUUCCUGUUUGGAAAGUUAGCUUUCUGAAAAUAUUGAUAAGUGUAUAUUUCAGGGACAUCAAAUUAUGAAACAGACAAUUACAUGACUUGUCAGUUCAUUAUGCUAGAAAGAUUUAAAAGGUAAAUUAGAUUUUAUAAGUCAUACCAAAUGUUCACACUGAAGGAUUCAACACAUCUUUAGAAUACUUCAAGUAUAUUAGGAGAAAAAAUGCAACUUUAUUCUUGAGCUGAUUCAGCAGAGUAGAAAUAAUUUUGACAUUUGUAGUUUCUAGAUGAGGCUUGAUGUAAGAAUAAAAAUUCUUUCAGGAACUGUGUGUCUGUGAUUUAAAAGUUUAUGUUGAACAGUUUGAAAGUAUGAAGACUACUUUUACAACCAAGAAAAGAAAAUGAACUGAAUUGAACUGAAUGAUUGAAUCAACAAAAUAGUAAACCUCUGCUCAUAUUAUUAAUAUAGUCUUUCCUCUCAUAUUACUGGUAAGCCCAUAAAUAGCAUCAUAUUAUGCAAUCCGAGAAACUUCCAUGUCUAGGGUCAAUACCAAUUAAGAUUGGGUGGCUCGUAGGGUGGAGGUGGUAGUCGUAGAGCUGACAGAAUUUUGGUGUUAGCAUUUGCUCAUAGGCUGUUUUUUGACAACUUUUUAAAAAGCAGUUAUUAUGUGUCAAAUAUAAUUUCCAGUUUAAAUUAAAAAUAAAGGCCUAGGAUGU
Molecule: long non-coding RNA, 2824 nt
Organism: Homo sapiens (human)
Lineage: Eukaryota; Metazoa; Chordata; Mammalia; Primates; Hominidae
Product: long intergenic non-protein coding RNA 1322
Source: Ensembl